AAAAAAUAAUCGCUUAGGAUAGGCGUUCACACGAAUAACUUGCUUUUACCUAAAUCAUUUCUUUACAGAUUUGAGAUUAAGGAGCGUUCUUUAACAUUUUUAUAAGUUCAAUCAAGUCACAUCAUAGUGCCUUAGUUUUUUAAUUUAGAUAUGAAUGAUGUGCAAAUGUCACCAAACCCGUCAUGUUUUAGAACAUAAGUUUGGUGUACAUACUGCAAAGUAAUUUUGGCGAAUGACAAUAGAUACUUGAAGAACAUUAAUCAUUAAGUUGUUUGAUGUAAUAUGGUCAAGUAAUUAAGCGCAUACGGUGGA
RNAcentral lists this unclassified non-coding RNA (312 nucleotides) under uncultured marine bacterium 311. RNAcentral's name for it is "partial 16S-23S ribosomal RNA intergenic spacer". The record is from RNAcentral.